This 497-nucleotide ribosomal RNA is filed under the name uncultured bacterium. RNAcentral's name for it is "partial 16S ribosomal RNA". It matches the Rfam family "Bacterial small subunit ribosomal RNA", at positions 28 to 507 of the family's 1533-position model. The record is from RNAcentral.
GAUGAACGCUGGCGGCGUGCCUAAUACAUGCAAGUCGAGCGAACGGACGAGAAGCUUGCUUCUCUGAUGUUAGCGGCGGACGGGUGAGUAACACGUGGAUAACCUACCUAUAAGACUGGGAUAACUUCGGGAAACCGGAGCUAAUACCGGAUAAUAUUUUGAACCGCAUGGUUCAAAAGUGAAAGACGGUCUUGCUGUCACUUAUAGAUGGAUCCGCGCUGCAUUAGCUAGUUGGUAAGUUAACGGCUUACCAAGGCAACGAUGCAUAGCCGACCUGAGAGGGUGAUCGGCCACACUGGAACUGAGACACGGUCCAGACUCCUACGGGAGGCAGCAGUAGGGAAUCUUCCGCAAUGGGCGAAAGCCUGACGGAGCAACGCCGCGUGAGUGAUGAAGGUCUUCGGAUCGUAAAACUCUGUUAUUAGGGAAGAACAUAUGUGUAAGUAAAUGUGCACAUCUUGACGGUACCUAAUCAGAAAGCCACGGCUAACUACGUG